This 447-nucleotide ribosomal RNA is filed under the name uncultured Sphingomonadaceae bacterium. RNAcentral describes it as "bacterial SSU rRNA". It matches the Rfam family "Bacterial small subunit ribosomal RNA", at positions 157 to 638 of the family's 1533-position model. Lineage: Bacteria; Pseudomonadati; Pseudomonadota; Alphaproteobacteria; Sphingomonadales; Sphingomonadaceae. The record is from RNAcentral.
UGACUGCUAAUACCGGAUGAUGACUUCGGUCCAAAGAUUUAUCGCCCAGGGAUGAGCCCGCGUCGGAUUAGCUAGUUGGUGAGGUAAAAGCUCACCAAGGCGACGAUCCGUAGCUGGUCUGAGAGGAUGAUCAGCCACACUGGGACUGAGACACGGCCCAGACUCCUACGGGAGGCAGCAGUGGGGAAUAUUGGACAAUGGGCGAAAGCCUGAUCCAGCAAUGCCGCGUGAGUGAUGAAGGCCUUAGGGUUGUAAAGCUCUUUUACCCGGGAUGAUAAUGACAGUACCGGGAGAAUAAGCCCCGGCUAACUCCGUGCCAGCAGCCGCGGUAAUACGGAGGGGGCUAGCGUUGUUCGGAAUUACUGGGCGUAAAGCGCACGUAGGCGGCCUUGUAAGUUAGAGGUGAAAGCCCGGGGCUCAACUCCGGAAUUGCCUUUAAGACUGCAU